Molecule: ribosomal RNA, 445 nt
Filed under: uncultured bacterium
Lineage: Bacteria
Description: partial 16S ribosomal RNA
Rfam family: Bacterial small subunit ribosomal RNA
Source: RNAcentral
GUGAGGAAUAUUGGACAAUGGAUGGAAAUCUGAUCCAGCCAUGCCGCGUGCAGGAAGACGGCCCUAUGGGUUGUAAACUGCUUUUAUACGGGAGCAAUAAGGUCUAUGCAUAGAUUGAUGAGAGUACCGUAUGAAUAAGCAUCGGCUAACUCCGUGCCAGCAGCCGCGGUAAUACGGAGGAUGCGAGCGUUAUCCGGAUUUAUUGGGUUUAAAGGGUGCGUAGGCGGCUUUGUAAGUCAGCGGUGAAAUUUUGCAGCUUAACUGUAAAAGCGCCGUUGAUACUGUGAAGCUAGGAUUUGGUUGCUGUGGGCGGAAUGUGUGGUGUAGCGGUGAAAUGCAUAGAGAUCACACAGAAUAUCGAUUGCGAAGGCAGCUCACAAAGCCAAUAUUGACGCUGAGGCACGAAAGUGUGGGGAUCAAACAGGAUUAGAAACCCCUGUAGUCC